CCAAUAGCGUAUAUUAAAGUUGUUGCAGUUAAAAAGCUCGUAGUUGAACUUCGGGGUUCACCCAUUGGUCAGGCUUAACUGUCUGUACUGAUGAGAUGAAUCUCUACCUUCUGAGGAACUUUCAUGCCAUUUAUUUGGUGUGAUUGGAAAUCAGGACUAUUACUUUGAAAAAAUUAGAGUGUUUAAAGCAGGCUAACGUCUGAAUACAUUAGCAUGGAAUAAUGAAAUAGGACGGAUUGGUUCUAUUUUGUUGGUUUCUAGGAUCACCGUAAUGAUUAAUAGGGAUAGUUGGGGGCAUUAGUAUUCAAUUGUCAGAGGUGAAAUUCUUGGAUUUAUUGAAGACUAACUACUGCGAAAGCAUUUGCCAAGGAUGUUUUCAUUAAUCAAGAACGAAAGUUAGGGGAUCGAAGACGAUCAGAUACCGUCGUAGUCUUAACCAUAAACUAUGCCGACUAGGGAUCGGACGAUGUUAAUUUUUUUAAUGACUCAUUCGGCGCCUUACG
Molecule: ribosomal RNA, 503 nt
Filed under: uncultured Glomeromycotina
Lineage: Eukaryota; Fungi; Glomeromycota
Description: partial small subunit ribosomal RNA
Rfam family: Eukaryotic small subunit ribosomal RNA
Source: RNAcentral